UGGGGAAUAUUGCGCAAUGGGCGAAAGCCUGACGCAGCGACGCCGCGUGAGGGAUGAAGGUUUUCGGAUCGUAAACCUCUGUCGGAAGGGAAGAAGGCGCACCGUGCCAAUCAGCGGUGUGUUGACGGUACCUUCAAAGGAAGCGCCGGCUAACUCCGUGCCAGCAGCCGCGGUAAUACGGAGGGCGCAAGCGUUAAUCGGAAUUACUGGGCGUAAAGCGCGCGUAGGCUGUUUCGUAAGUCAGGGGUGAAAUCCCACGGCUCAACCGUGGAACUGCCCUUGAUACUGCGGGACUUGAAUCCGGGAGAGGGUGGCGGAAUUCCAGGUGUAGGAGUGAAAUCCGUAGAUAUCUGGAGGAACACCGGUGGCGAAGGCGGCCACCUGGCCCGGUAUUGACGCUGAGGUGCGAAAGCGUGGGGAGCAAACAGGAUUAGAUACC
This 439-nucleotide ribosomal RNA is filed under the name uncultured bacterium. Its description in RNAcentral is "bacterial SSU rRNA". It matches the Rfam family "Bacterial small subunit ribosomal RNA", at positions 355 to 786 of the family's 1533-position model. The record is from RNAcentral.